This 478-nucleotide ribosomal RNA is filed under the name uncultured bacterium. RNAcentral's name for it is "partial 16S ribosomal RNA". It matches the Rfam family "Bacterial small subunit ribosomal RNA", at positions 28 to 523 of the family's 1533-position model. The record is from RNAcentral.
GACGAACGCUGGCGGCGUGCUUAACACAUGCAAGUCGAACGGUAAGGCCCUUCGGGGUACACGAGUGGCGAACGGGUGAGUAACACGUGGGUGAUCUGCCCUGCACUUCGGGAUAAGCCUGGGAAACUGGGUCUAAUACCGGAUAGGACUCCUGGCUUCAUGGUUGGGGGUGGAAAGCUUUUGCGGUGUGGGAUGGGCCCGCGGCCUAUCGGCUUGUUGGUGGGGUAAUGGCCUACCAAGGCGACGACGGGUAGCCGGACUGAGAGGGUGACCGGUCACACUGGGACUGAGAUACGGCCCAGACUCCGACGGGAGGCAGCAGUGGGGAAUAUUGCACAAUGGGCGCAAGCCUGAUGCGGCGACGCCGCGUGAGGGAUGACGGCCUUCGGGUUGUAAACCUCUUUCAGCUAUGACGAAGCGCAAGUGACGGUAGGUGCAGAAGAAGGACCGGCCAACUACGUGCCAGCCGCCGCAGUAA